Molecule: ribosomal RNA, 372 nt
Filed under: uncultured organism
Description: bacterial SSU rRNA
Rfam family: Bacterial small subunit ribosomal RNA
Source: RNAcentral
CGAGUGCCCCAAGCGUUAUCCGGAAUUAUUGGGCGUAAAGGGUGUGUAGGUGGCGAUGUUAGUCUUCUGUCAAAUUCUUCGGCUUAACCGGGGGUCUGCAGGGGAAACGGCAUUGCUCGAGUGUGCAAGGGGUGAAUGGAACUCAUGGAGUAGGGGUGAAAUCCGUUGAUAUCAUGGGGAACACCAAAAGCGAAGGCAAUUCACUGGUGCAUUACUGACACUGAAACACGAAAGCGUGGGUAGCGAACGGGAUUAGAUACCCCGGUAGUCCACGCCCUAAACGUUCUUCACUAGCUUUCGGGGGAAUCAACCCCUUCGGAGGCGAAGCUAACGCGUUAAGUGAAGCGCCUGGGUAGUACGGCCGCAAGGCUA